UGGGGAAUAUUGGACAAUGGGGGCGAACCCUGAUCCAGCAAUGCCGCGUGUGUGAAGAAGGCCUGCGGGUUGUAAAGCACUUUCAGUAGAGAAGAAAAAGCCUAAGGUUAAUAACCUUGAGUCUUGACGUAACCUACAGAAGAAGCACCGGCUAACUCCGUGCCAGCAGCCGCGGUAAUACGGAGGGUGCAAGCGUUAAUCGGAAUUACUGGGCGUAAAGCGCACGUAGGUGGUUUUGUAAGUCGGAUGUGAAAGCCCUGGGCUCAACCUGGGAAUUGCAUUCGAUACUGCUUAACUAGAGUAUGGUAGAGGGAAGUGGAAUUUCCGGUGUAGCGGUGAAAUGCGUAGAUAUCGGAAGGAACACCAGUGGCGAAGGCGACUUCCUGGGCCAAUACUGACACUGAGGUGCGAAAGCGUGGGUAGCAAACAGGAUUAGAUACCCCCGUAGUCCCUGAGCGGGCUGGCAAGGCGCAU
RNAcentral lists this ribosomal RNA (474 nucleotides) under uncultured bacterium. RNAcentral describes it as "bacterial SSU rRNA". It matches the Rfam family "Bacterial small subunit ribosomal RNA", at positions 355 to 825 of the family's 1533-position model. The record is from RNAcentral.